Molecule: ribosomal RNA, 2759 nt
Filed under: Pseudomonadota bacterium
Lineage: Bacteria; Pseudomonadati; Pseudomonadota
Description: Proteobacteria bacterium (activated sludge metagenome) 23S ribosomal RNA
Rfam family: Bacterial large subunit ribosomal RNA
Source: RNAcentral
UAUCAAGCGCAUAAGGGCGUUAGGUGGAUGCCUUGGCAUUGAGAGGCGAUGAAGGACGUGGCAGGCUGCGAAAAGCCACGGGGAGCUGUCAACAAGCUUUGAUCCGUGGAUGUCCGAAUGGGGAAACCCACCGCAUUGCGGUAUUACAUUUUGAAUAUAUAGAAAUGUAAAGCGAACCUGGGGAACUGAAACAUCUAAGUACCCAGAGGAAAGGAAAUCGAAUGAGACUCCGUUAGUAGUGGCGAGCGAACGCGGACCAGGCCAGUAGUCUUUAAGUAAAAACCAGAACUGUUUGGAAAAGCAGGCUAUAGUGGGUGAUAGCCCCGUAUGGGUAAAAAGCUUAAAGAUUCUAGAGUAGGGCGGGACACGAGAAAUCCUGUCUGAACACGGGGGGACCACCCUCCAAGCCUAAGUACUCCUCAGUGACCGAUAGUGAACAAGUACCGUGAGGGAAAGGUGAAAAGCACCCCGAUGAGGGGAAUGAAAUAGACCUGAAACCAAACGCCUACAAGCAGUCGGAGCGAAACGAGGCAACUCGGGUUCGUGACGGCGUACCUCUUGCAUAAUGGGUCAGCGAGUUCGUUUAUGUAGCAAGCUUAAGCCGAUAGGUGUAGGCGCAGCGAAAGCGAGUCUGAAUAGGGCGAUAAGUUACAUGAAUGAGACCCGAAACCGAGUGAUCUAGCCAUGGGCAGGCUGAAGGUGCGGUAACACGUACUGGAGGGCCGAACCCACGUUUGUUGCAAAAAAUGGGGAUGACCUGUGGCUAGGGGUGAAAGGCUAAUCAAACUCGGAAAUAGCUGGUUCUCCGCGAAAUCUAUUUAGGUAGAGCGUCGUGUAUUACUACCGGGGGUAGAGCACUGGAUGGGCUAGGGGGGAGCGAUCCUUACCAAACCCAACCAAACUCCGAAUACCGGUAAGUACAGCACGGCAGACAGACUAUGGGUGCUAAGGUCCGUAGUCAAAAGGGAAACAGCCCUCACCGCCAGCUAAGGUCCCCAAGUUAUGGUUAAGUGGGAAAGGAUGUGGGAAGACCAAGACAGCUAGGAGGUUGGCUUAGAAGCAGCCAUCCUUUAAAGAAAGCGUAAUAGCUCACUAGUCUAGACAAGUCGUCCUGCGCCGAAAAUGUAACGGGGCUAAAACCAUACACCGAAGCUGCGGCUGCAUCUACGUCAGUGGAUGCGGGGUAGCGGAGCGUUCUGUAAGCCUGUGAAGGUGUUCCGUAAGGAGCGCUGGAGGUAUCAGAAGUGAGAAUGCUGACAUAAGUAGCGUUAAAGCAGAGUGAGAAACUCUGCCACCGAAAGUCCAAGGGUUCCUGCGCAAGGUUAAUCCGCGCAGGGUAAGCCGGCCCCUAAGGCGAGGUCGAGAGACGUAGUCGAUGGGAAUGAGGUUAAUAUUCCUCAGCUUGCUUAGAGUGACGAAGGCCGAAAGUUGUUCGUGGUUAUUGGAUUCUGCGAGCAGCCUGGGACUUCCAGGAAAUAACUCAAGCGUUAUAAACCGUACCCCAAACCGACACGGGUGGACUGGUAGAAUAUACCUAGGUGAUUGAGAGAAUGAUGUUGAAGGAACUCGGCAAAUUAACCCCGUAACUUCGGAAUAAGGGGUGCCUCUUCUUGGGCAACCAGGAGGGGGUGGCACAGAAUUGGGGGUGGCGACUGUUUAUCAAAAACACAGGGCUCUGCAAACUCGUAAGAGGAUGUAUAGGGUCUGACGCCUGCCCGGUGCUGGAAGGUUAAAAGGAGGAGUGCAAGCUCUGAAUUGAAGCCCCAGUAAACGGCGGCCGUAACUAUAACGGUCCUAAGGUAGCGAAAUUCCUUGUCGGGUAAGUUCCGACCCGCACGAAUGGCGUAACGACUUCCCCACUGUCUCCAACAUCAACUCAGCGAAAUUGGAUUCUCCGUGAAGAUACGGAGUACCCGCGGUUAGACGGAAAGACCCCGUGCACCUUUACUAUAACUUUGCAGUGGUGUUAGGGAGUGACUGUGUAGGAUAGGUGGGAGCCUAUGAAGCAGGAGCGCCAGCUCUUGUGGAGGCGUCCUUGAAAUACCACCCUGUCACUCUUUGACAUCUAACUGAGGUCCGUAACCCGGAUCCAGGACCCUGCAUGGUGGGUAGUUUGACUGGGGCGGUCGCCUCCCAAAGAGUAACGGAGGCGCGCGAUGGUAGGCUCAAGCUGGUCAGAAAUCAGCUGUUGAGUGCAAUGGCAAAAGCCUGCCUGACUGCAAGACUCACAAGUCGAGCAGAGACGAAAGUCGGUCAUAGUGAUCCGGUGGUCCCGAGUGGAAGGGCCAUCGCUCAACGAAUAAAAGGUACGCCGGGGAUAACAGGCUUAUCUCCCCCAAGAGUUCACAUCGACGGGGAGGUUUGGCACCUCGAUGUCGGCUCAUCACAUCCUGGGGCUGGAGAAGGUCCCAAGGGUUUGGCUGUUCGCCAAUUAAAGUGGUACGUGAGCUGGGUUCAGAACGUCGUGAGACAGUUCGGUCCCUAUCUGCCGUGGGUGUAGGAAAAUUGAGAGGACUUGUCCCUAGUACGAGAGGACCGGGAUGAACGCACCUCUGGUGUACCAGUUGUGGCGCCAGCCGCAUCGCUGGGUAGCUAAGUGCGGGCGAGAUAACCGCUGAAAGCAUCUAAGCGGGAAACUUUCCUCAAAACGAGUUUUCCCUAUGAGAGUCGUGGUAGACCACCACGUUGAUAGGUCAGGUGUGGAAGCGCUGUAAGGCGUGGAGCUAACUGAUACUAAUUUACUCCAUCGGCUUGAUAUC